RNAcentral lists this ribosomal RNA (418 nucleotides) under uncultured prokaryote. RNAcentral's name for it is "bacterial SSU rRNA". It matches the Rfam family "Archaeal small subunit ribosomal RNA", at positions 455 to 873 of the family's 1478-position model. The record is from RNAcentral.
GUGUCAGCAGCCGCGGUAAUACCAGCUCUCCGAGUGGUGGGGACGUUUAUUGGGCCUAAAGCAUCCGUAGCCAGCUGAGCAAGUCCCCAGUUAAAUCCAGCGAUUUAAUCGUUGGACUGCUGGGGAUACUGUCCGGCUAGGGGGUGGGAGAGGCCGACGGUAUUCCCGGGGUAGGGGUGAAAUCCUAUAAUCCCGGGAGGACCACCAGUGGCGAAGGCUGUUGGCUAAAACAUGCCCGACGGUGAGGGAUGAAAGCUGGGGGAGCGAACCGGAUUAGAUACCCGGGUAGUCCCAGCUGUAAACGAUGCAGGCUAGGUGUUAGGGCGGCCACGUGCCGCUCUAGUGCCGCAGGGAAGCUGUUAAGCCUGCCGCCUGGGGAGUACGGCCGCAAGGCUGAAACUUAAAUGAAUUGGCGGGG